GACGAACGCUGGCGGCGUGCUUAACACAUGCAAGUCGAGCGGUAAGGCCCUUUCGGGGGUACACGGGCGGCGAACGGGUGAGUAACACGUGGGUGACCUGCCCUCAGCUCUGGGAUAAGCCUGGGAAACUGGGUCUAAUACUGGAUAUGACUCCACGGUGCAUGUCGUGGGGUGGAAAGCCUUGUGCGGCUGAGGAUGGGCCCGCGGCCUAUCAGCUUGUUGGUGGGGUGAUGGCCUACCAAGGCGACGACGGGUAGCCGGCCUGAGAGGGCGACCGGCCACACUGGGACUGAGACACGGCCCAGACUCCUACGGGAGGCAGCAGUGGGGAAUCUUGCGCAAUGGGCGAAAGCCUGACGCAGCGACGCCGCGUGAGGGAUGACGGCCU
Molecule: ribosomal RNA, 388 nt
Filed under: uncultured bacterium
Lineage: Bacteria
Description: bacterial SSU rRNA
Rfam family: Bacterial small subunit ribosomal RNA
Source: RNAcentral